Long non-coding RNA from Columba livia (rock pigeon), 4113 nucleotides. RefSeq lists it as uncharacterized. The record is from RefSeq and is a predicted model, not a curated record. The transcript has 3 exons. Lineage: Eukaryota; Metazoa; Chordata; Aves; Columbiformes; Columbidae.
GCACGAGGAAAAAAAAAAAAAGUCCCAGUGUUUUUGACGACGGGACAACCGGCCGUUCCUCCCCAGUACACCCCGGGUCACAGUACAGUAAUGACCGUGGGUUGUGCGUUGUAGGACUUGACCUUUCCUACGUAGAAGAGGGCGCUUUCCUCCACGCUACGGGGAGGGGAGGGAGGGGGGAGCGGCGGGAGGAAGAGAGAUGCUCUCUUUGGGGAUGUUUAAUCACAGUUCAGAUCUAGGAACGGGCAAAGCUUCUGCCUUUCAGCACGCCAUGUUGAAGCUAUUCAGUGGAGCAAGAAUUUUUUGUCUUUUUUUUUUUUUUUUUUUUAUUUUAAGGGGGGUGCGGAGGCGGGAGUGAGGCCGGAGGGAGGGAGGAGAGGGGGAAGAAAGACUUAAUGAACAUUCGCAUUUCGUACCCUAGUUCAUGAAUCAACUGCAUUCAAGGAGGAGGGCGCCCGGGGGAAAGGGAAGGGCUCAUGGCGUGGUUAAAACACCCGCGGACCCUGUGGCCGCGGCAGAGGCGCAUGGGCCCGGAACCCACCGCUCCACGUCCCCGCCAGCCCACGCGGAAAAGCCACCAUCUGGUCUGCCCCUCUUCUUUUUGGGCUUCUUUACCGGCCGAGAAAGCGCAAGGCCAUCUCUUCAAAUCAUCAUUAAAGUGCGUUAAAACGCAUCUAAAAGUUAUGAAUGGCAACUAACGGCCUUUUAGCGCCUGCCAAUAUAUAUAUAUAUAUUUUUUGUAUUAAAUGCUGUCUUGCUUUUAUUGCUAACGCUGCCCACGGAGAAUGCUGAAAUGGACUAGGAAUGAGGUUUUAUUUAAGCCAUAGCCAUUAAAAAAACCCUUUAAUUUAUAGGCUAAAGGACGAGAUCCUUACCCGUUCGUUCAGAAGAGUACAGAAUAAAGUCAGUGCUCUGGAAACACAGGGAGCUUUUAUUUUCUGAACAUUUCUAUCUAGAGCCCCACAUUUUUUCCAUUUGCUUCAGAGGCUGUCUUAGACAACGAGCGUUUUUAAGUGGGGGUCUUUCUGAGCAGAAGACGUUGGGAAAAGAUAAAGCUUUGCAGUCCUACUUAUCAUUCUUUUUCGAAAAUAUGGUCCUGUCAAGGUUUAUUUCCCAUAGCAUACCACCUCUGCUACUGCCAAGUGCUAGAGGCGGGGGUAAAUUAAAUACUGGAUUAUUCUAUGUGUGGGAAAAAAUACAAAACAUUCGCUCUACCCGUUCGUCCGCAUCAAAGACGUAAGGCCACUUUCUGUCCAUGUGAAUUUCAAAUUUGAGGGACGAAGGACACCAGGAAUUCGGUGAUUAUAAACCAACAUGUCCAGACACUGGGAAUUAAAGGAUACGUGCCAAAUCGCACAAUAAUUAUUUCGAGUGAAACUGAACUAAUAUUUUUUGUCUUUAAUUGCGUUUUGCGUUUUACGCUGGGAAUGAAAUAUUGCUCUGACAUUAAUGUUUCAAUAAAUACGCUAAAUAUACAUAAUAACUUGCUCCUUCUGUUCCCUGCGUCCCUCUGCACAUCCGUUAAAACGUUAUACCUAACAUUUUAAUUUCUAGGGGACGUGAGAAAAUAGAGACCCUACUUUGUUUAUGUAUUACAAAAAAAAAUUGUUUUAUUUUCAAAUGCUUCCUAUUUUUUUAAGCUCCUGCAAAUAAAACUCCUCACACAUAUAACUCUACCCAGCAAUCCAGGCACAAUAAGUUCACCACCAGCAUUUUAAAACAUCCUCAGUAACGCGGGGAAUAUAAAUAAUAAUUCUCUCCGAACCGCGCGCAGGGACGGACGUCGUGAAGUAAUGUAUCACGUUGCUUAAUUAUUUUCCUUGGUGAUAUAUUUACUUGUAAAAGAUAUUAGGGGUGUAUUUUAGGACGUUGGCGGCAGAUUGGUGAGAGGGGAAUAUGUAAUACAACAGCAAUUUGUACUUGAAAAUGUAUGUGCCAACAGCUUUUGGACGGUAAAUGAAGGUAAUAAAUAACAUGAAUACGCACACCUACGCAGCCGCUCUCCCCCACGCUCCGAAGCCACAACUACCCGGCGGCGGGACGGGGGGACUGGGGCGCGGGGGGCUGCGUGGCUGUAGCCGUGGGUAGACAGAGACGCGGGAAGACCGAGGCGGGUGGGGACGCAGGCCCCGUGGACAGGGAUUCUUUCGCGACUCGGAAAGCCACAGACACGCCGGUCCUGAUGCAGAGUCGCCGCACGACCGCGGCCCAGAGGGCUCCACCGGGCACCGCCGCUCCCAGCAGCCCACUCCCUAGGGGUGCCCCGGUGAGGGAGUCACGGAGCUCCCGGCCUUUACUCACCUGACUCGCCCCCGAGAUACGUUUCGCGAAUGGAGCCUCGAGGCGGGCCCGAGGAGAUGGCAGCGGGUCCGAGAGGAGCCGCCGGCCCCGCGGGACCGGGCGCGGAGCCGCAACCGCGCCCGCUGCAGGCCUGGGUGUCCGGGGGAGUCACCCCAUCGGAGUGUGGGAGCUCCUGCUCCUCCGAUGAGGCUCUCCGCUUCAGGGCCGGGAAACACGACCUUGCUCCUCCUGCUGAAGCCUGCGAGAUCCUCGACACUGAUUUACAUGGUAGCAGGGGUCCGAUCCAAAAUGUCACCUUACUCCUGCCAGCGAUCGCCAGUCAAGUGCUCCCCUUUUUACUCUGUGAAAUAUAUAUGCGGCAGAGCUAUUUGAACAGUAGUGGGAAUUUAAAUUCGCUAAUCCACAGUCAGUCCAGAAAUGCUUAACAGAUUUGAACGGUAGGUAGUACAGUGUGAAAACAUAAUCUUGAAACGCUAGCUCCGAUUAAAAGUUACUCUUAAAAAAAAAAAAAUUUGUUAUUUUACUAAUGUCGGCCAUGUUCUCGUUAUGGAUUUCUUCCAAGGUGCCCCUUGAAUUAUAUAGCGCUCUUGGCCAUGGUGUGAAAAUAGAAGAUCCUGUCUAAAAUACAGAGAACUCGAAUCCUUCCUAUGACACUAAUCUCCGACCUGCAGCACGUGUAAUUUGCGGAAUAAUGAUACAAGUUGAGAAAUAUAACGGAAUAAAUACAGUUACUAACUCGGAGCGAGAACAAGUGUAAUUCACAAGUGCCUUUUUUCAGGCAACGCAGCUCAUUCCGGAGAAAGCGUGGCAAUGAGAUGGCUGUCCGGUGCCCGCAGCCGAGGCAAACCGGUGGUUAUCUGCCCGCGGACGGCAGGUACCGUCAGUUAGAAACGGCCCCCGUAGCCAGUCCUCAGCCUCCGCGCAGGGUGCAACAGGGAGUAACAGCUGCCCGCGCCUCCGGCAGCCCCACCGCGGGGGUUUGCUGCCUGUUCCAUCUCCGCUGAAAAUCCCAGGUCGCGGGGAUGCUGCGGGAGUCGUGGAGGCUGCUGGCUCCUCAGAGGUGAGGGGAGUCCCAGCCAGCUCCCCUCGACCGUAGAUAGACCAAGUCCCUGCUCGCCGGGGAUGGUUAUUGUCCUCUCGGGCGGUGUUGCGCCCGUGGGUCUUUCCCCUUGGUCCUUUGCACGGUACCGCAGGCCUCGGGCAGGCCAGGUCCUUGUCACAGCGGCUGCCCCCGGUCACCUCACAGGGACACCAAAGCAUAACAACGACCUCACGGCCUGGAAACCGACUGCCACUUAUGUACCUCUCCCUGGCUAUUUUCGCGACGGGACGAGGAAAAUCUCGUUCAUAAAGUCUCUGACCGGCCUCCGAAGGGACGAGGCCCGUAUUCCCACGCUCCGCCUGAGAAACCACAGCGCUCCGCGGCCUCGAAAGCUUCGAGAGGCUGGAAGAUAAAGUGCCCGCACACCGCGGGAAGGCUAAAAGCCCGCACGGAGCCCAAAGCCCCCGACACAACAGCCUCCUGGAAAACAGAUCCCUCUCUUGCAGGUCAAGGUUUCAGGCCUUCCCCGUCCUGUCAUCGCCACGCAGCCCACCCCCCACCUUCCCGCCGAGGCAUCGCCAGGCUGGGCAGCGUCCCCCCAUCCCGGAGGCCGGCUGCUGGGCUCCAUUUGCUGUUUGCGAUGUUUUAAAUUUGCUAUCAAGAUAGAUCCUCCACAGAGCUUCCUUCAUUACUGAUGUCUCUGAAAUCCUUAUUCAGUACCUUCGAGGUCUAUUAUUACUUUCUGACAUUAAAUGCAUUGCUUAAACACA